Molecule: ribosomal RNA, 286 nt
Filed under: uncultured bacterium
Lineage: Bacteria
Description: partial 16S ribosomal RNA
Rfam family: Bacterial small subunit ribosomal RNA
Source: RNAcentral
CUCCCCUACGGGACGCAGCAGUGGGGAAUAUUGCACAAUGGGGGAAACCCUGACGCAGCAACGCCGCGUGAGUGAAGAAGUAUUUCGGUAUGUAAAGCUCUAUCAGCAGGGAAGAAGAUGACGGUACCUGAUUAAGAAGCCCCGGCUAACUACGUGCCAGCAGCCGCGGUAAUACGUAGGGGGCAAGCGUUAUCCGGAUUUACUGGGUGUAAAGGGAGCGCAGACGGCAGUGCAAGUCUGGAGUGAAAGCCCGGGGCCCAACCCCGGAACUGCUCUGGAAACCUUG